This is an RNA transcript of Peromyscus leucopus (white-footed mouse), 3284 nucleotides long. It is a transcript of the gene named Ras related GTP binding B, with no coding region annotated. The record is from RefSeq and is a predicted model, not a curated record. The transcript is spliced from 13 exons. NCBI's taxonomy places the organism in Eukaryota, Metazoa, Chordata, Mammalia, Rodentia, Cricetidae.
UCCUGAAGGGCGGGCGCGGAAGUAAACGCGGCCUCAGGCGGAUUCCGACUGGCGGCGAGGUCGUCCGGAGCCGCCAGGCGGGGACCGCUUGGCUUCGGCGGCCGCCGCGGUCAGCUCGUUCCGUUAUCUCCGCCUUGGCCGGCCGCACAGCGGCGGACCAAGUUCCCUUCGGGUCCUGAGACCUUGGGGGAGUGAGGCCCGAAGUCGGGACCAACUCCUCAUCCCCCUGGCCCUCCAUCUCUUCCUUGGCACGCAGCGAAUCGCUGGUUCCCUCGGGCUGGCCUCCCCGGCCGAGCCGGGAGACUAAGUUCGGGUCGGUAAAGGUAACUGUGGGAAAAGCGGCCCCCCAGUGGACAAAGGCGGAGGCAGGCAUAGAGCAGGCCCCGCGGGCCGCGGGUGCUGAGCAUAGGCAGUGGAGGAGGUGAGCCAGAAGAAAGGAGGACUGCGGCUUUAGAAGGCGCUGGGAAGGACUUGUUGCGCGAUGGAAGAAUCUGACUCCGAGAAAAAGACGGAGAAAGAGAAUCUGGGCCCAAGAGUGGAGCCUCCACUCGGGGAGCCCGAAGAAUCGCUUGGGUGGGCAAUGCCAAAUGCAGCCAUGAAGAAAAAGGUGCUGUUGAUGGGUAAAAGUGGAUCUGGUAAGACCAGCAUGAGGUCUAUUAUCUUUGCAAAUUAUAUUGCCAGAGACACUCGUCGCCUUGGUGCAACAAUCCUAGACCGUAUACAUAGUCUUCAAAUUAAUAGCAGUUUGAGCACCUACUCUCUCGUAGACUCUGUUGGAAAUACAAAGACAUUUGAUGUAGAACAUUCUCAUGUUCGAUUUCUGGGAAACCUGGUUUUGAACCUGUGGGAUUGUGGUGGACAAGACAACUUCAUGGAAAAUUAUUUUACUAGCCAGCGUGACAACAUCUUUCGAAAUGUGGAGGUUCUGAUUUAUGUCUUUGAUGUGGAGAGCCGUGAACUUGAAAAGGACAUGCACUAUUAUCAGUCAUGCCUUGAGGCCAUUUUACAGAAUUCUCCAGAAGCCAAAAUCUUUUGCUUGGUACACAAAAUGGAUUUGGUACAGGAGGAUCAACGAGACUUGAUUUUUAAAGAACGAGAAGAAGACUUAAGGCGUUUAUCUCGUCCAUUAGAAUGUUCUUGUUUCCGAACAUCUAUCUGGGAUGAAACUCUGUAUAAGGCUUGGUCCAGCAUUGUUUAUCAGCUGAUUCCUAAUGUUCAGCAACUGGAAAUGAACCUGCGCAAUUUUGCUGAAAUUAUUGAGGCUGAUGAAGUACUUCUGUUUGAGAGAGCGACCUUUCUGGUCAUUUCUCAUUAUCAGUGUAAAGAGCAGCGUGAUGCCCACAGAUUUGAGAAAAUCAGCAACAUUAUUAAGCAAUUCAAGCUGAGCUGUAGCAAGCUGGCUGCCUCUUUCCAGAGUAUGGAAGUGAGGAACUCUAACUUUGCUGCUUUCAUUGACAUAUUCACAUCCAACACUUACGUCAUGGUCGUGAUGUCUGAUCCAUCCAUUCAAGGGGUCAUCCUAUCUACUUUGUUACUGAACUCCUCCUCUGCUGAAGUCACCUUUUGAUGAACAUUUACAUGGGACACAGGACCUGCUCGAGCCCAAUCACAUAUGUACCACUUCCAUUUGAUAAUAGACUGCUGCUGUGCACAUCCUACUUUAUGACUUGGUGAGUCAGUAACACCCAGCUCAUGAUGAGCACCUGAGGUCGCAUGGUAACUUGGUGGCCCUUUAUCAAACGUUCAGUUUCCAGUAAGGACAAAUAGCAGGCCAAGAGCUGUCUUUCAAAGGGAGAAUGGCUGACAGCAGUAAUUUGGAGCCUUGCUCCAAAUCCCAAAGGCCUCUUCUGUGAUUCACCUAUAGGGCCUGCCAAAGGCUCCAAACAGCAUCCCUCUCUGCCACUGACACCCUGAAUACCAUCCCAUCUGCUGCAUCAUAUGGUCCAAGUGGUAGAGCAUCCUGCACAGCAGCCUGGACCUGUUGAAGAGCCUUCUCCUGUUCCAGGUCCCACACAACGAUAACAGCUUUGCAAGUCACUUGGACUGAGGAAGUAACCACAGGAUGAGUUCUGGGACCCACUGGAUCUACUAUGACCUUGACUUCAGCCAAAUCUCCAUGAAUCCCCUGGCCUCCAUAAGCCCACACUUUCACUGGUGGGCUACAGUGCUUCUUGGGAUCUCUGGAAUCAGCAUCAGUUCAGAAGCAGUAUCCAGCAGACCCUGGCAAGUCUGGGUGUUUCCUUUCCUACAGUGUACAGUUACCCUUGGAAAAGUCCAUAAGCUCUCUGGGAAAGGGCUAGAGAAAGGCUAGUGGUAAAUUUCUUAGGCAUUUAAUCAAGGUCCUUCCUUAGGGGAACCUGGCCAUCCCUUCAUUCAAGGGAUUCUGGGUCUAUAAACUGGCUCAAGUCUGGAAAUUGGGUCACGGUCUGAGAUUCCCUUUGGCCAUGAUCCAAUGGAGCCUUUCUUUCUCGUUUGUUUGAGAGUUUUUCCCCCACUUAUACAGAUCAAAAAGAAAAAUGCAGCAGGCCUCUUAUCUAUUUCAUGGCCUGGAAACACCAUGAUUGAUUAGCCGGUACCAAAGGUCCAUAUGAGUCAUGCCACCAUAGAAUUCGCUUUGCCUGUGCUGACCAUUAUGGGUCAGGCCAUUAUGGGCAUUGCUUUGUCUAUGCUGCCCAUUACAAUAGCUAUGAUCACCUUGCCUUUGGUGAUUCAGAGCGCCACCUGGCCCCUGCUACUUCGGGGCCCAACUCCUUGCUUUUAAUUCAUCCAACUGAGCAGCAGAGAAAGGGCGGCAGUGAGGCUCUGCAGAUGUUCCGGUGCCCCUCACCAUUUUGUGUCAUAGAGGACUUGUGAAGGGCGUGUCUUCUGGGCCUUCUUCCCAUUGUGGAAGCUUGGGUUUUUCACAGCAUACCCACUCUAAGAUUGCAGUUUCCCUGAGCCUUAAAAUCACUUCAUCAAUAUUAAGCCAAGGGAUAUCAGGCAUCUCCAACUCCUUUCCAGUAGGCCAUCUUUUGAGAAAUGCUACAGCUAACCAAUCAAACAAACUGACAUCUUUAACUGUUUAAGGUUUCAUAUUAGACCUAGAAUCUCCACUCAGUAGCCCCUUAUCAAUAAACUCAGCCUGAUCUAGUUUUAUGUUCCUGGCAUAAUAUAUGAUAUUAUAAACAUAAUGACAUAAUGAUAAUAUAAACCAUUAUCCCACACCAAUCCAUUCCCACACAUAUUCCCAGACUUCUACUUAAAUGAAUUAGCAAACUCAUUAAGCUUUUUUUUCCCCUGAGAUA